AUUUGGUGUGGAAACAUGUUAGUAGUGUCUGGUAUAUGCGAUAGCGAGGGGAAGCAAAAGACUUUAAGGAGCAGCUACAUUGCUAAGGACAAGUUUGGGGCUCUGUCUGCUGAAGGCAUUGAAUGAAUCAGUAUGAUUCCUAGUCCCAUGGGAGUAAGACUCUGACUAGACAGAGGAGUUACGUGAUCAGUGCCAAUACUGUGCCACAGUGUUAAACCUCCACGCAGGUAUGCAGUGGGAGCUGGGAGAAAAUGUUAGGAAUGAGUCUUCUACCUCAGUCUCCCUCAAAAGAGAAGUACUGAGUGACCAAGGGCAGUAUAGUUUGUAUUGACACCGCAAUAAAUCCUUGAGUUUUAUUCGAAAUAGGAGGAAAAAUACCACGGGGAAUACUAUAAUAUGCUUUUACUGCGUGGAUCCCCUGCAGAUUAUCUGUUGCUCCUAAAUGAGUGAGUGCUUUGCAGGGGAUUUGCCGUAACUUGACAAAGACAGCUCUCAGCAGGAAUGGCCAUGAAGAAACAGGGUCACACUUAAGAACCUCUGAGCAACAGUUACUGAUUUAACACUUGAUAAGUAACUCAGUGGAAAGGAACAGAGAUGGAGGUGGGCAGGGAAGGUUAAAAAACAAGGGAAACCCUUCACAGAACUGUUAUAUCAAAUUCUGUGCAAAGGAACUUUUCUGUGCAAAAGAACUUUUCUGUGCAAGUCUGUUCAUCUAAAGCCCUUACUGUAAGCUGCUUUGUGCCCUGUUUAUUGAGGAAAAAUGGCAUAAAUAUAGUGCAUCUGAGCAGGAUGUGACUAGAAGGGUGCAAUGGGAUUCUGGUAAAGAACCACCAGGACGUUGGCUGCCAUCCUGCUGGUGUGAGGCCAGUGUGGAAAGGCUAUGUCAGGUGAAGGCAGCACUUCCAGGAUCCCCUCACCUGGGAGCCAUUGAGAACCAAUGCUACCUUCAUGGAUAAAUUCUAGACUGGCUAUUGCUGGACAAGAGUUAUCUUUUUAUGCCCCUCUGGCUUUUUAUUUUUAGGCCAACGUGUUUAUAUGCCGUAAAAUGUGUUUGCAGUACUGAAAACUAGGCUUGGGGAGGGAUCUCUAGCACAGCUGUGUCUAAAACCCCUUUUAGGGAACUGGCUCACUCAAUGGCUGCACUUGAGGAUCUUCACAUAUCACCGUAUUGUUGAACAAAGAAGGCAUAUAAAGCAAAGAAGCUCUCACUGGCAUCUCCCUGUGUCGAUGUCUAGAUACUUCUGCAACAGUUGAAGACUUGGGGCUGUAGCUGAGGAGAGUGAGAUCCUGAGUGGACACUUGUGCUGUUUGAAGAGGUGAGUUUAGAGAAUCUGAAUCAGCAAGUGAAUGGAUGGGAUGAAGGACUGGACCACUGGUUACUGAUGCCGCAACAUACAUGAAAACAGUGAAAGACGUAGGAUCAGCAGAAGAAAGCCCCUUCUCCUCCCUGCUCAGUGAGUACAUCUUUCCUUUGCUUUUCUCAGCAACAGGUUGGUAACACUAAGGUUCUUCUAAAAUGUGAUGGUAUCAACUGUGUGUAGAUAAAGACCAAAAUACCCAAGAUUUAUUGCUGUGCCUACAGUUUCCAGUAAUCUCAGUUCUCAUUGCUAGACCAACAUCUUCAAACACGUCUUUGAAUUUAGGAGAUGAACUUUGUUAUCAGCGUGGGAUGAAUCACCACAGCUGAGCCUAUGCAGUUCUCAGGUAGUGCACCAAGAACUACAGGUGUUCGGGAUAUUUGAUAAGAUGUUACCUUCAUUUCAGUACCUAGGCAGCAGUGCAGAGAACUAACAUUAAGUAACAGGUUUUAGAAAUGUUAAGCCUCCUUUUAUAUUUAGUUCACAGGCAAACUGUCCACCAUGCCAUUUUAGUUUGGAUUAUUUUGGAGAAAAAAAAAAAAAGAAACUUGUGUUCUGCUAAUGACCAAAUUCACGUAGCAAAAAUAGCUUUUUAAUAUGGGACAAUAGA
This is a long non-coding RNA of Cygnus olor (mute swan), 1968 nucleotides long. RefSeq lists it as uncharacterized. The record is from RefSeq and is a predicted model, not a curated record. NCBI's taxonomy places the organism in Eukaryota, Metazoa, Chordata, Aves, Anseriformes, Anatidae. The transcript has 4 exons.